Long non-coding RNA from Oncorhynchus tshawytscha (Chinook salmon), 2381 nucleotides. Lineage: Eukaryota; Metazoa; Chordata; Actinopteri; Salmoniformes; Salmonidae. The record is from Ensembl.
GAUUGUAACUUUAACAUAACACCUGUAAUGGAGACGAAGGGAGUCAGGAAGCAGGUGCAGGUGGUGAGUUUAACAUUAACAAACAUGGAGCGACACAAAACAAGAAUGGUGUCUGACAUGAAAACAGAACCAAUACAGCCUGGUAUACAAAAGCUACAGAGUACAGAGUACUAGAUAUAGGAAUAGUAAUCAGGGUAGUGAUUAAGUCCAGGUGUGUCUAAUGAUAGGGCGCAGGUGUUCUUUAUGAUGGGCUGCCAGGACCGGCGACGAGGAGCAGGAAUAGACGUGACAGUACACCGAUUAGAGGGAUGCCCCGAGGGCAAGGACGGGCCAGUCAGCAAAGGUAGAAAUCUUAGAUGUUGUAUCUCGAAUGUUGUCCAUCGGUACCCAACACCGCUCCUCUGGACCGUACCCCUCCCAGUCCACCAGGUACUGGAGCCAACCCCCACGAUGUCGGGAGUCCAGGAGGGAUCUGACGACAUAGGCGGGGCUUCCCUCGAUGUCCAGGGGAGGAGGACGGCUGUCGUGGUGGACGGCCUCAGUCAGGGGACCAAGAACCACCGGCCUGAGGAGGGAUCCGAUAGUUAGCGUGGAGCUGUAAUCUAAAUGUCACCUCAUUGACCCUCCAGAAGACCUUGGCAGGCAGAGUGGAAGGUUCCUGGUGGAGAGCCAGACACGAUCACCAAGAUGGAACACCGCCUCACUGCGGUGGCAAUCUGCCUGCUUCUUCUGACGGCGGACGGAACACUGGAGCCUCACUGCGGUGGCAAUCUGCCUGCUUCUUCUGACGGCGGACGGAACACUGGAGCCUCACGUGGGCAUCGUUCCAGAACUCUUCUGCUCGUUUCCAUAUUUUGUGAGCCUCUCCCUCUCCAGCACACAACUAAGAUCUGCAGCUUCUAGUGAACCGUCUAAGAGGAAGACAAUUAACAAAGUCAGAUAUGGCAACUGCUGGAAACAGACGUAGCAAGGAUGUUGACCAUGAUAUGGGACUAAAGUCUUCCUCUGCUCUGAAAAGCCCAACUCCAAGCACGGAAACGAGUACUCAGUCAGACAUUCAUGAUACGGAUUCAAGUGAUGACAGUAUGGAUUCACCACCUUUUAUUGAGUAAGAUUGUAUGGAAUAUAAAAUAGUUUCAAGAACCCUUAAACCCACAACAAUACAAUUUUAUAUUUUCACAAUUCUGUGGACAUCUCUUUAAAAUAUUAUUGGACUAUGCUUAAACUGAAUUAAAAGAACACUAAAAUAAAAUAAUGGGAAAUGAUUAGGUGUGAUCCAGUAUUAUGUGCAUGCAAUACUAAAACCUUUACAAUGGCAGGGCCAAUGGCCAGGUUUAAUUUAUGAUUAACACAUUGUUCAACUCAUCUUUACCUAAAAUCCACAUUAAAGUCACAACGAUUAGACACAGAUGAAGUGUAGGCCUAUGCUUACGCCAAUAAUGAAUUUCACUUUUAAUCAAAAUAUAUAAUAGUUUUGUUUUAGUGGAAAUUAUAAGAAAUAUUCCUUUAUAAUGCUUCAGCCUCAUAAAAAAUAUUAAAAUAUAGGUGUGAUCCAGUUUUAAAGCUUGUUUUGACAGAGCAGGGAUUAACACUAUCUACUGUAAUCUUUACAGUGGUGUAAUUUAUUAAGUUAAGUUGUGGUUAAUUAGAUUGGACACAUUAGUUCAAGAAAUCUGACUAUUACUGUGGUGGGUUUUCUUUGUGGAUACAUAUCAGUGUAACACUGGGCUACCAUCGCAUAUGUCUGGUACAUUUAAUCAGGUUUGACAGAUAAGUUACUCUUUUAUAUUGUUUCUUGAUCUGGGUCAGUGUGUUCUUCCUGUGGAUGACUGUCUGACUAUGGCUGGGAUUUAAUACAAGGUUUUAGAGAAGCGCACUGCCCUUGACGUACGUCAUUUGUGCUAACGCCAACAGUCACAGUGAAUGAAUGUACAGUGCCUUGCGAAAGUAUUCGGCCCCCUUGAACUUUGCGACCUUUUGCCACAUUUCAGGCUUCAAACAUAAAGAUAUAAAACUGUAUUUUUUUGUGAAGAAUCAACAACAAGUGGGACACAAUCAUGAAGUGGAUCAACAUUUAUUGGAUAUUUCAAACUUUUUUAACAAAUCAAAAACUGAAAAAUUGGGCGUGCAAAAUUAUUCAGCCCCCUUAAGUUAAUACUUUGUAGCGCCACCUUUUGCUGCGAUUACAGCUGUAAGUCACUUGGGGUAUGUCUCUAUCAGUUUUGCACAUCGAGAGACUGAAAUUUUUUCCCCAUUCCUCCUUGCAAAACAGCUCGAGCUCAGUGAGGUUGGAUGGAGAGCAUUUGUGAACAGCAGUUUUCAGUUCUUUCCACAGAUUCUCGAUUGGAUUCAGGUCUGGACUUUGACUUGGCCAUUCUAAC